CACACAAACACACACACUUUGUCCUGAUGG
This 30-nucleotide non-coding RNA is filed under the name Mus musculus (house mouse). The record is from RNAcentral. Lineage: Eukaryota; Metazoa; Chordata; Mammalia; Rodentia; Muridae.